CCUCAUUGUGGCCCACAGGCCCUGCACGUGUGCCCCUGAACUCUGACCUCACCACCCAGUGCACCCCCACUGCCCUCCAGCCACCUGGCCUGGCUGCUCCUCCACCUGCUUGGGACUGUGCACUGCCCACAGGCUCUCUCCAUGGCCUCAUAGCCACUAGGCCUUCCCUGACUUCCUGUUUAAUGUCACACCCCCACUUCUUGCUGUCCCUUCCACAGCACUUACGCCCCAUUAUCUGUUACUGAUUUUCCAUGUUUAUUGGCUUUCUCUCCACCCACAUAUGGUAACUGCAUGAGGGCAGGGUUUUUCUCUGUUUUGUUCACAGCUGUGUCCCAGCACUUAGACGGUGCCUAGCAUGCAGCACACUUCCCACAGAGGCUUUUGAAUGAAUGGAUGCACUCCAUCCGCAACCUGCCAUCCAUGCGGUUCCGUGAGCAGCACGGGGAGGAUGGUGUGGAGGACAUGACACAGCUGGAAGACCUCCAGGAAACCACUGUGCUGUCCAACCUCAAGAUUAGAUUUGAACGGAACC
Molecule: long non-coding RNA, 532 nt
Filed under: Pan troglodytes (chimpanzee)
Lineage: Eukaryota; Metazoa; Chordata; Mammalia; Primates; Hominidae
Description: long non-coding RNA NONPTRT007223
Source: RNAcentral